UCUGAGGAUGCUGAGGGACUCAUUCCAGAUGUCAAUCUGAGGUCCAGACCAGUGACCCUUCAUUAGGACAAAUCGGACUCUCAGAGCCCGACUCUAUUUGAUGACCCCUAUACUGGUGUAAACUUGUUUUCUUUCUUUUGAACAAAGCAUUAGUUUCUUAUUUAUGAGGCAAUAUGCUCCUUUAGAUAUACUGAUAGACUAACCCAAGUCUUGCUUUGUUUUCCUCACUUUGUUGAACAGACUUGUAGACAGAUUAUUUUAUAUAGGAAAUAGAUACUUGAAUAAUGAAUGAGGAAAUACAAAAGAAAGAUUGAAUUAAGAAAGAGUCGAACAAUUGUGCUGGGUACUGAGAGUCUUACUAGUGUUGGGCUAAAAGAAGGGAACAUCAAAUGCCUACCUUAAAUGUUGACAAGAAAACCUGUUUUAGUUCUUUGAGUGUUGGGUAUUUUUGAGACGAUGUCUUUGUUUCUCGUUCUCUCUUGUUUAUCUGAGGUAGAAUGAGUGGAUGAAAGGUGGCUUCUACUUUUAGAGUGGGGUGAACAGCAGUACCAGGAUCUUCUGAAAGUCACAUGUCACCUGCUUUGUGCAAUGUCCUGAGGUGUCUUCAGUGGCCUACUGUGUAAGAGCUCAUGGUCUGUCCCACGAUUUGGUGGAGGUAGUAUGGAAAGUACUAACUCUACAAAGAAAACAUUUUCCUCCCUGGAAGGAUUCAGGAGUCCCAAGAAGUGUGGCCCAGAUUGUGCACCACGCCCACAGAUAACUGACAACGGAAUGCAACACUGUAUUCCAAGGUGGAGUUGGUAUGGCACCACGAACUGCAAAGGAAACAGGACAUUCCUCUCCUUAGCUGUCAGGAACCAUGUGGGUGAUGCAGAAAAAGUAUGAUCAUAGGAAGGCACCACGCCUAUGGAUAACUAAGAAAGUGGAGUUGGUGGUGGAAAACUCACCAUCUGUACAGAAAAUAAAGCCUCUGUCUAUCUGAAGUCCAGAAGUUGGUGAGAGAGUGAAGUUGUAUUUGGAGUGUAUAUAUCAUAUCAUCAUGGUGGUGCUGGUAGCAUGAGAAGGACAGCGCUUAGAACACCAGAGGUGCUGUUGGCAUACAAGGCAUGUGGAAAAGAAUAAUCUAUGCAUUGGAUGCCCCAAAGGGCGCAGCUGCUGUGGAGGGAAAGCUGCAGUGCACAGAGGGAGGAAAACCUUGUGAGAGACAGCAAGUGCGGCCGAGUGCGGAGGAGCAUGACUUGGGCGCACCUUGUAGAUGCUGACAUGUGGUGCAGUUGGUGUGAGAAAAAGGCUUCCCAUGCCCAGAAAGUGGGUCUUAUUGCUGUGGAAGGCUGAAGGUGCUGCUGUCUUCAAGAAGUGUCUCUGUGGGCUGAACUUGGUCUGGAGAUGCUGACAUAUGGUCCAGUUGGCAAGUAGAGUAGGCGCUUGUUUUACACACAAGGAGGAAGUCCGUGCUCAUCGAUACCACCAGAGGUUGUGGGCCCUCGAGGUGUGAAUGACAGUAGUGCCCUGAGGCCUUGGAAUGCCACAAAAGGUGAAGUGGGCAAGAAGAAUAGAUGCUUGUUCUUGUGCACAGAGAGAAAGACCUGACUCUCUGCUGAUCCCCAACAAUGCUGGAGAGUCCAGGAGGUGUAUGGACAGGAGUGUGCAGUACCUGCGGAUACUCACAAAGGGUGCAGUUGGGAGAAGGGAGGCUCCAGUGCCCAGAGAGAGGAGGUGCUUAGUGCUGUGCAAGUCCAGAGUGGCUCCUGACUCUUCAAGUGUUGCCACAGUGUCUAUGGGGGGAUGCAGAUUUUCCAUGGAUGCCCAUGUACCGUGCAUUUGAAGUGGGACAUGGAUGCUCGCCUUGCACACAAGGAGGAAGGACCUUGCUCCCCUCAGAUAACCAGAAUUGCAAGCAAGUCCUGCAGGCUUCUGGGUAGGAGAGCAAAGUGCCCCUGCCCUGAACACCCACAAAGGUGAAUUGCCUUGGGGGAAUGGCUCGCCAGGUGGGAGACCUUACUACUGUGGAAGACUGGAGGUGCGACAAGUGCAAGGAGUGUCUCUUGGCAUGAACCUUGUCCAUAAAUCUGGUGAAUUGGCUUGGAGGAAUGGCUCGCAAUGUGGGGAGGAUGGAAGACCUUACUACUAUGGAAGACUGGAGGUGUGGCAAGUGCAAGGAUUGUCUCUUGGCAUGAACCUUGUCCAUAAAUGUGGAGCAGUUGACAGGAGAAGGCACAGAAGGAGGAAGCCCUUGUUCCUCUCAGAUGACCAGAAGUCUCACACGUCCAGGCAGACAUGUGGACGGGAGUGCUCAGUACCCGUGGACACUCACA
Long non-coding RNA from Condylura cristata (star-nosed mole), 2315 nucleotides. RefSeq lists it as uncharacterized. Lineage: Eukaryota; Metazoa; Chordata; Mammalia; Eulipotyphla; Talpidae. The transcript has 14 exons. The record is from RefSeq and is a predicted model, not a curated record.